AUUGAACGCUGGCGGCAUGCCUUACACAUGCAAGUCGAACGGCAGCGGACCUUCGGGUGCCGGCGAGUGGCGAACGGGUGAGUAAUAUAUCGGAACGUACCUUUCAGUGGGGGAUAACGUAGCGAAAGUUACGCUAAUACCGCAUAUUCUGUGAGCAGGAAAGCAGGGGAUCGCAAGACCUUGCGCUGAUUGAGCGGCCGAUAUCAGAUUAGCUAGUUGGUGAGGUAAAGGCUCACCAAGGCGACGAUCAGUAGCUGGUCUGAGAGGAUGAUCAGCCACACUGGAACUGAGACACGGUCCAGACUCCUACGGGAGGCAGCAGUGGGGAAUAUUGGACAAUGGGGGCAACCCUGAUCCAGCCAUGCCGCGUGUGUGAAGAAGGCCU
Molecule: ribosomal RNA, 385 nt
Filed under: uncultured bacterium
Lineage: Bacteria
Description: bacterial SSU rRNA
Rfam family: Bacterial small subunit ribosomal RNA
Source: RNAcentral